Molecule: small RNA, 362 nt
Filed under: Histoplasma ohiense
Lineage: Eukaryota; Fungi; Ascomycota; Eurotiomycetes; Onygenales; Ajellomycetaceae
Description: hypothetical lncRNA
Source: RNAcentral
GCACAUAAGUUAUGGAUUACCUGGUUCAACUCCACCUUUCACCAAGAACGAAAAAUCAUUAUUACCCCACAUAAAAGAGGUACAGCAGCAGCACUGGACAAUGUAUCAGGUAAUUUAAUGAGAACCAUGCAAGAUCUCACCAAUGGCUUGCAUACCCGCCAUAUGACUUCCAUACGUUUGGGUUGAUAUUUACUAUAGUGUCAGUAGCCGAGCCUAUUCUCGCUUUUGGCACGUUACUGGAGAUAUGUACACGAAACAUUCUGGGGGAGCGGGGAAUGGCAAUACGGCAUUAAAUGCAAAAUAUUGGUGUGGCUGUAAUGGCCUUUGUCACAAGCAUCGGUGGUAGAUAGAUUAGCAGCGGU